CUCCCCCAGCAAAUACAUGAAAAAUUUUAGAAUACACCGAAUAUAUUAGUGACAUGGCGUCACAAACCAAUUAAAUAAAUUUUUUUAAAAAUAUAUGUCCUAUCAUGAUUAUAAAAAAAUAUUUUUAUUAUAUUUUUAUUUGAAAAGAAAAAAUACGAUUGACUUGUUAUUGAUGACGUGGUGCAAGCGUGACAGUGCAGAAAUUCUCGCAAAUAC
RNAcentral lists this long non-coding RNA (216 nucleotides) under Ananas comosus (pineapple). RNAcentral describes it as "long non-coding RNA (ACOM_LNC010783)". Lineage: Eukaryota; Viridiplantae; Streptophyta; Magnoliopsida; Poales; Bromeliaceae. The record is from RNAcentral.